Molecule: non-coding RNA, 115 nt
Organism: Triticum aestivum (bread wheat)
Lineage: Eukaryota; Viridiplantae; Streptophyta; Magnoliopsida; Poales; Poaceae
Source: Rfam
CUUGUACUCCCUCCGUCCGAAAAUACUUGUCAUUGAAAUGGAUGUAUCUAGAUGUAUUUUAUUUCUAGACACAUCCAUUUUGAUGACAAGUAAUUCCGGACGGAGGGAGUACUUU